RNAcentral lists this ribosomal RNA (774 nucleotides) under uncultured Neocallimastigales. Its description in RNAcentral is "partial large subunit ribosomal RNA". It matches the Rfam family "Eukaryotic large subunit ribosomal RNA", at positions 24 to 649 of the family's 3401-position model. The record is from RNAcentral. Lineage: Eukaryota; Fungi; Neocallimastigomycota; Neocallimastigomycetes; Neocallimastigales.
UAUGUGAUCGUCUCUCGCAUAUCAAUAAGCGGAGGAAAAGAAACUAACAAGGAUUCCCCUAGUAACGGCGAGUGAAGCGGGAAGAGCUCAAAUUUGAAAUCUUAAAGGGUUUCCCUUUACGAAUUGUAGUUUAAAGAAGUGUUUUCUGUUGAGGUUUUGGUAAAAGUUCUUUGGAAUAGGACAUCAUAGAGGGUGAGAGUCCCGUAUUUGACCUUUACUUUCAACUUUGUGAUACACUUUCAAAGAGUCGGAUUGUUUGGGAAUGCAGUCCAAAAUGGGUGGUAAAUUUCAUCUAAAGCUAAAUAUUGGCGAGAGACCGAUAGCGAACAAGUACCGUGAGGGAAAGAUGAAAAGAACUUUGAAAAGAGAGUUAAACAGUACGUGAAAUUGUCAAAAGGGAAGCGUUUGACACCAGUGUUGUUUUUCUGAAAAUCAAUUAAAGAACUGUUUAUGCUAAGUUGUUUAGACUUUAUCAGCUAACUGUUUAGUUUUGAGCUUUUCUUUAAUGCACUUUUCAGUUAACAAGUCAACAUCAAUUUCUUUUGCUGUAAAAAAGCUUGAGGAAGGUGGCUUGAGAUUCGUCUUAAGUGUUUAUAGCCUCUUGCCUAUGCAGUCGGAGAGAUUGAGGUCUGCAGCGUAGAUCCUUCGGGGCUAAAUGCAUUUGUGCUAAGUUAUAGCAUUUUAUAGACAACUUGUUGACUAUGAUUUGUCUUGUAGCUUACUCGCUUAUGUUAUUUUACCUACGCUUAGGAUGUUGAGUAGCGACAUACGCAC